AACGAACGCUGGCGGCAUGCCUAACACAUGCAAGUCGAACGAGAUCUUCGGGUCUAGUGGCGCACGGGUGCGUAACGCGUGGGAAUCUGCCCUUUGGUUCGGAAUAACAGUUGGAAACGACUGCUAAUACCGGAUGAUGACGAAAGUCCAAAGAUUUAUCGCCAGAGGAUGAGCCCGCGUAGGAUUAGCUAGUUGGUGUGGUAAAGGCGCACCAAGGCGACGAUCCUUAGCUGGUCUGAGAGGAUGAUCAGCCACACUGGGACUGAGACACGGCCCAGAAUCCUACGGGAGGCAGCAGUGGGGAAUAUUGGACAAUGGGCGAAAGCCUGAUCCAGCAAUGCCGCGUGAGUGAUGAAGGCCUUAGGGUUGUAAAGCUCUUUUACCCGGGAUGAUAAUGACAGUACCGGGGGAAUAAGCUCCGGCUAACUCCGUGCUAGCCGCCGCGGUAA
Molecule: ribosomal RNA, 449 nt
Filed under: uncultured bacterium
Lineage: Bacteria
Description: partial 16S ribosomal RNA
Rfam family: Bacterial small subunit ribosomal RNA
Source: RNAcentral